ACUCCUACGGGAGGCAGCAGUGGGGAAUAUUGCACAAUGGGGGAAACCCUGAUGCAGCCAUGCCGCGUGUGUGAAGAAGGCCUUCGGGUUGUAAAGCACUUUCAGUAGGGAGGAAGGUAGUGUAGUUAACACCUGCAUUAUUUGACGUUACCUACAGAAGAAGCACCGGCUAACUCCGUGCCAGCAGCCGCGGUAAUACGGAGGGUGCGAGCGUUAAUCGGAAUUACUGGGCGUAAAGCGCAUGCAGGCGGCCUGUUAAGUCAGAUGUGAAAGACCGGGGCUUAACCUCGGAAUUGCAUUUGAAACUGGCAGGCUAGAGUCUUGUAGAGGGGGGUAGAAUUUCAGGUGUAGCGGUGAAAUGCGUAGAGAUCUGAAGGAAUACCGGUGGCGAAGGCGGCCCCCUGGACAGAUACUGACACUCAGAUGCGAAAGCGUGGGGAGCAAACAGGAUUAGAUACCCUGGUAGGAUAGCG
RNAcentral lists this ribosomal RNA (473 nucleotides) under uncultured bacterium. Its description in RNAcentral is "bacterial SSU rRNA". It matches the Rfam family "Bacterial small subunit ribosomal RNA", at positions 335 to 799 of the family's 1533-position model. The record is from RNAcentral.